CGCCUGUUUAACAAAAACAUUUCUUUUAGAUUUUUUUAAAAGUACUUUAUGCCCUAUGGUAUUUCUAAAUGGCUGCAGUAUUUUGACUGUGCAAAGGUAGCAUAAUAAUUAGUUUUUUAAUUGAAGGCUAGUAUGAAUGGAAAAUUGAGAUACAGAUUUUAUUUGGUUUAGUAUUAAAAUUUAAAUUUUGGGUUAAAAUUCUCAAUUAUUUUCUUGGGACGAGAAGACCCUAUAGAACUUUAUUUAAUUAAUUUUUAAUUAAUUUUUAAUUUAAUAUAUUUAAUUAAUUGUAAUGAAUUUUACUGGGGUGGUAAAUAAAUUUGAAACUUUAUUAAUAAAAAUCAUUUAUUAUUGUUUUUAAUGAUCUCUAUCUAGAAAUUAAGAAUAAGUUACCUUAGGGAUAACAGCGUAAUUUUAAUGGUAAGUUCAUAUUUAUAUUAUUUUUUGCGACCUCGAUGUUGAAUUAAGGUUGAUUUUGAGAAGCAGUAUUCUUGAAGUUAAUCUGUUCGACUUUUAAAUCCUUACUUGAUCUGAGUUCAGACCGG
RNAcentral lists this ribosomal RNA (545 nucleotides) under Kansendria kansiensis. RNAcentral describes it as "partial 16S ribosomal RNA". It matches the Rfam family "Archaeal large subunit ribosomal RNA", at positions 1889 to 2688 of the family's 2987-position model. The record is from RNAcentral. Lineage: Eukaryota; Metazoa; Arthropoda; Insecta; Hemiptera; Cicadellidae.